RNAcentral lists this small nuclear RNA (107 nucleotides) under Castor canadensis (American beaver). The record is from RNAcentral. Lineage: Eukaryota; Metazoa; Chordata; Mammalia; Rodentia; Castoridae.
GUGCUCACUUUGGCAGCACAUAUAGUAAAAUUGAAAUGAUACAGAGAAAAGUAGCAUGGCCCCUAUGCAAGAAUGACAUGGAAAUUUGUGAAGCAGUCCAUAUAAAA